Molecule: long non-coding RNA, 486 nt
Organism: Myotis daubentonii (Daubenton's bat)
Lineage: Eukaryota; Metazoa; Chordata; Mammalia; Chiroptera; Vespertilionidae
Source: RefSeq, a predicted model, not a curated record
GUGGAGCGGCGUGUGAAGAGAAAGAAGGGGUGUUUGCAGCCUCGGCGCCUGUCAACAGGUGAGCGUUAACCAGGAGCUUCUCUGAGGGGCUCCUGGCCCCUUAGGCCCAGCGGCGGCGGAAUCCGUUGUGAACGUGGUGACUCACCCCUGAAGGCAGAUGGAGCAGCGGUACUGCGGCGCUGGGGCCCGGGACCUGGCAGUCAGCCCAGUUCGAGUCCCUCCCUCGCCUCCUCGUGGGCCGCUGGGAGUCGUGUCAGGUGCACACCGCUAGAGGGUGAAAGAGAGUAAGUAAGUAGUGGAUGUGAGAGACACAUCGACUGGUUGCUUCCCACAGGCAUGGCUACUGGAACCAGGGAUUGAACCUGCAACCCAGAUCCUUCUUCACCCCUGGCUAAAUCCUCCCGGACGCUGAGCCCAUGCUCCCCUCGCAGCAGGCACAGGUCCCUACGGAAGUCAGGCUGCCUGGGCCUCCUCCCUGACCUCACC